RNAcentral lists this ribosomal RNA (1241 nucleotides) under metagenome. Its description in RNAcentral is "bacterial LSU rRNA". It matches the Rfam family "Bacterial large subunit ribosomal RNA", at positions 1564 to 2815 of the family's 2925-position model. The record is from RNAcentral.
UGAAUACGAGACGCUACGGCGUCGAAGCAGUCUAUGUCAUACUUCCAAGAAAAGCUCGCAAUGUCAUAAACAAAUAAUGCCUGUACCAUAACCGACACAGGUGGGUAGGUAGAGUAUACUAAGGGGCGCGAGAUAACUCUCUCUAAGGAACUCGGCAAAAUGACUCCGUAACUUCGGGAGAAGGAGUGCCUUAUUUAUAAGGUUGCAAUAACAAGAUCCAAGCAACUGUUUAUCAAAAACACAGGUCUCCGCUAAGUCGUAAGACGAUGUAUGGGGGCUGACGCCUGCCCAGUGCCAGAAGGUUAAAGAAGUUGGUUAGCAUUCGCGAAGCUGAUAACUGAAGCCCUGGUGAACGGCGGCCGUAACGAUAACGGUCCUAAGGUAGCGAAAUUCCUUGUCGGGUAAGUUCCGACCCGCACGAAAGGCGUAAUGAUUUGGAUACUGUCUCGGAGAGGGGCUCGGUGAAAUAGACUUGUCUGUGAAGAUGCGGACUACCUGCACCUGGACAGAAAGACCCUAUGAAGCUUUACUGUAACUUGAAAUUGAAAUUGGACUUUAUUUGCGCAGCAUAGGUGGGAGGCGUUGAGAGUAUUCUUGCGGGAAUACUGGAGCCAUCAGUGAGAUACCACUCUUGUAAUGUUAGAUUUCUAACUUUGUAUCAUUAUCUGGUCAAAGAACAGUUUCAGGUGGGCAGUUUGACUGGGGCGGUCGCCUCCCAAACGGUAACGGAGGCGUACAAAGGUUUCCUCUGAACGGGUAGAAAUCGUAUCUAGAGUGUAAAGGCAUAAGGAAGCUUGACUGUGAGACCUACAAGUCGAGCAGGGACGAAAGUCGGUCUUAGUGAUCUGACGGUGCUGAGUGGAAAGGCCGUCACUCAACGGAUAAAAGUUACUCUAGGAUAACAGGCUGAUCUCCCCCAAGAGUUCACAUCGACGGGGAGGUUUGGCACCUCGAUGUCGGCUCAUCGCAUCCUGGGGCGGUAGUACGUCCCAAGGGUUGGGCUGUUCGCCCAUGAAAGCGGUACGCGAGCUGGGUUCAGAACGUCGUGAGACAGUUCGGUCCACAUCCGGUGUAGGCGUUAGAAUAUUGAGAGGAGCCUUCUUUAGUACGAGAGGACCGAGAAGGACAUACCUCUGGUGUACCAGUUAUCGUGCCAACGGUAAACGCUGGGUAGCUAUGUAUGGAGAGGAUAACCGCUGAAAGCAUCUAAGUGGGAAGCCCACCUCAAGAUAAGUAUUCUC